UCCACACUGGGACUGAGACACGGCCCAGACUCCUACGGGAGGCAGCAGUAGGGAAUCUUCCGCAAUGGACGAAAGUCUGACGGAGCAACGCCGCGUGAGUGAUGAAGGCUUUCGGGUCGUAAAACUCUGUUGUUAGGGAAGAACAAGUACGAGAGUAACUGCUCGUACCUUGACGGUACCUAACCAGAAAGCCACGGCUAACUACGUGCCAGCAGCCGCGGUAAUACAAA
This 230-nucleotide ribosomal RNA is filed under the name Bacillus sp. B58. Its description in RNAcentral is "partial 16S ribosomal RNA". It matches the Rfam family "Bacterial small subunit ribosomal RNA", at positions 307 to 529 of the family's 1533-position model. The record is from RNAcentral. Lineage: Bacteria; Bacillati; Bacillota; Bacilli; Caryophanales; Bacillaceae.